Long non-coding RNA from Rhea pennata, 662 nucleotides. RefSeq lists it as uncharacterized. NCBI's taxonomy places the organism in Eukaryota, Metazoa, Chordata, Aves, Rheiformes, Rheidae. The record is from RefSeq and is a predicted model, not a curated record. The transcript is spliced from 4 exons.
CUGAUCCACGAGGCAGCAGCUUUGAGGAGUUACAUAACUGCAGGUGGUGGCAGAGAUGAGGCUCCUCUGCCGCCCAACUCCAACAAGCUAACAGCACAGAGCUGCUCAAGUCUUGGAGAAACAGCGGAGACAACUUCAUCUUCAUAGGGUGCAGGUUCUAAAAUAAUUCAGUUUCUGGCACAGCCACUUGGGACAAGACAGCAAAAAUACUAAAAUUAGCAUGGAAACAAAUGGACAAAAGGAGCUGCUCUCCUGUCAUAUCCAGCACUCAGCAGCAUGCCAACUCGGCUGAGCCUCCGCAUGCUCGCAGGCCAAGUCAAGGAAGCUUGCACAUCACGCAGCUGAGAGGCCCGUGCACGUGCGAAUUGUUAUACCAAACUCCCUCUCCUCCCCACCAAGGCACGUUGAAGCUUUAGCAGCUCAUGAGCGGCUGGCAGACCACAAAUUCAGAAACACUCGUCUCGUCCUCUCCUCCUAACAGCACCUGGAUCCAAGAUUGAAAAGUUUGAGGUGGAGAUGCGGAUCAGCCAGGAGGAAGAUUUUUCCAAAGUGCUAAAGAAAGAAAUAAUGAAGUGAACUGAGGAUUUAAAGCCUCAUGUGCUUUGAAAGAACCCUGUGUUUCGUUUUGACCAGAGAAAUUCCAUUCAACUACCAGAUAUAUG